RNAcentral lists this ribosomal RNA (407 nucleotides) under uncultured bacterium. RNAcentral's name for it is "partial 16S ribosomal RNA". It matches the Rfam family "Bacterial small subunit ribosomal RNA", at positions 355 to 774 of the family's 1533-position model. The record is from RNAcentral. RNAcentral also lists the same sequence under 1 other name.
UGGGGAAUAUUGCACAAUGGGCGAAAGCCUGAUGCAGCGACGCCGCGUGAGGGAUGACGGCCUUCGGGUUGUAAACCUCUUUCAGUAGGGAAGAAGCGAAAGUGACGGUACCUGCAGAAGAAGCGCCGGCUAACUACGUGCCAGCAGCCGCGGUAAUACGUAGGGCGCAAGCGUUAUCCGGAAUUAUUGGGCGUAAAGAGCUCGUAGGCGGUUUGUCGCGUCUAUCGUGAAAGUCCGAGGCUCAACCUCGGAUCUGCGGUGGGUACGGGCAGACUAGAGUGAUGUAGGGGAGACUGGAAUUCCUGGUGUAGCGGUGAAAUGCGCAGAUAUCAGGAGGAACACCGAUGGCGAAGGCAGGUCUCUGGGCAUUAACUGACGCUGAGGAGCGAAAGCAUGGGGAGCGAACA